This 505-nucleotide ribosomal RNA is filed under the name uncultured bacterium. RNAcentral describes it as "partial 16S ribosomal RNA". It matches the Rfam family "Bacterial small subunit ribosomal RNA", at positions 28 to 507 of the family's 1533-position model. The record is from RNAcentral.
GACGAACGCUGGCGGCGUGCCUAAUACAUGCAAGUAGAACGCACAGUUUAUACCGUAGCUUGCUACACCAUAGACUGUGAGUUGCGAACGGGUGAGUAACGCGUAGGUAACCUGCCUGGUAGCGGGGGAUAACUAUUGGAAACGAUAGCUAAUACCGCAUAAUAUUAAUUAUUGCAUGAUAAUUAAUUGAAAGGUGCAAUUGCACCACUACCAGAUGGACCUGCGUUGUAUUAGCUAGUAGGUGAGGUAACGGCUCACCUAGGCGACGAUACAUAGCCGACCUGAGAGGGUGAUCGGCCACACUGGGACUGAGACACGGCCCAGACUCCUACGGGAGGCAGCAGUUGGGAAUCUUCGGCAAUGGACGAAAGUCUGACCGAGCAACGCCGCGUGAGUGAAGAAGGUUUUCGGAUCGUAAAGCUCUGUUGUAAGAGAAGAACGGGUGUGAGAGUGGAAAGUUCACACUGUGACGGUAUCUUACCAGAAAGGGACGGCUAACUACGUG